UUAGGCAUUUUACCGUUUCACAUCACAAGGGCAAGUACAAGUUAUUUUGAGAGACCACAUUCAUAUAACUUUCAUUACAGUGUACUGCUAUAAUUGUCCAACUUUAUUGUUAUUAAUCUCUUCCUGUGCCUAACAUACACUUUAUCAUAGGAUGGGAUUGUUUCCAGAAGAAAGAUCCACAUGAAGGCUCUGCAUUAACAGGGAGCAGCACCUCCAUAGACCUGAGAUUAGGAUGGCCAGAGCACAAAUGAGGCCCCCGGAUCACGUGAGCCCGCCUCCAGCUCCGGGCGGAAGAGGCCGGCCGGGCUGAUGGGAAACGCUGCCGGAGGCGAGGGGCGGGCGCUCGUGCCCGGCUGAAAGAUGGCUGCCGCCGCUCGGCAGCCGCCGCCCCGGAGGUGACUCUAGGGCCUACAGCUUCCCUCCGUUCCCGCAGGCCGCCGCCGCCUCCUUACCAUGAAGCCAGUGAGUCGCCGCACCCUGGACUGGAUUUAUUCAGUGUUGCUCCUCGCAGUCGUAUUGCUCUCCUGGGGAUAUGUCAUCUAUGCAUCGACAGUAGCUGCACGACGACAGCUAAGCAAGGAAUACCCAGACAGAUCUUGGGGAUGAAUAUUUGUAAUUCCUCUGGAUUUAAUGCUGUUCACAUAGUUCUUUACCUGAUGCUUCCCUGGCACGUGUCUAGAUAUAAAGUAAAAUCCAUUAUGCGAUGCUUAUAAAUUUAUUUUUGCGUAGUCCUUUAUAAUCACCACCAAUCUAAUUCUCACAGAGGUUUUCUUUUACAUUCUUAUAUAAAACAAACCAACCUAGAUCUGACAGCAUGUUGAGUACUGGACCAUAGAUGGAAUGACAUGCUUUUCAACCUAGAGCUUCUAAAGUACCUCUUAAAAUGCCUCAGUCUUCUUUAAAACAGUCUGUGGAAUUGCUGUUCUUAUACUUGUUUAUUGCAACAUUUCAUUCUGUUGCAUACCUUCACAUAAGAUUAAGUACCAUGUAAGAAAAAAAAACUGGCAUGUGACUACUUUCUACAUCCUGUUUUUCAAGUCAAGAAUGGUCAGAAAAAGGUAAUCACUCAUAUUUUUUUGGCUUGUCCAGUUUUUACUUAUUGUUAAAUAACUCAAAGAGUUGCAAAUUGUACAAUAUUUGUGAAGAAAUAGACCACACAUAUCUCAGAGUAAACUUUAUUACUUUUCCAGAAAAUAUAUUCAGUAAAUACAGUAAUGCAUCAAUAAACGUGGCCUCAUAUGCCUUUGAAA
Canis lupus familiaris (dog) is the source of this 1250-nucleotide long non-coding RNA. RefSeq lists it as uncharacterized. The transcript has 4 exons. Lineage: Eukaryota; Metazoa; Chordata; Mammalia; Carnivora; Canidae. The record is from RefSeq and is a predicted model, not a curated record.